RNAcentral lists this unclassified non-coding RNA (464 nucleotides) under Hevea brasiliensis (rubber tree). Lineage: Eukaryota; Viridiplantae; Streptophyta; Magnoliopsida; Malpighiales; Euphorbiaceae. The record is from RNAcentral.
GAGAGAUUGGGCACCACAAUUGGAAAUUUUAGGUCACCCGUCUACGGGUGGAUUCAUGAGUCAUUGCGGGUGGAAUUCUUGUAUGGAGAGUAUUACAAUGGGAGUUCCAAUCGCGGCAUGGCCAAUGCAUUCUGAUCAGCCUAGAAAUGCGUUGUUCAUAACUGAAGGACUGAAAACGGGGAUAUGGGUGAGAAAAUGGGAGCAACGAAACGAAGUGAUCCCAGCAGAGACUGUUGAGAAAGUUGUACGAACGUUAAUCGCCUCUCCGGAGGGAGCGGAGAUGAAACGAAAUGCUACAGCGAUCAAGGAAGCAGUGAAAUUAUCGGUAAUGGAGGGUGGGGUAACGCAGCAGGAAAUGAAAUCUUUUGUUGCCCACAUUACUAGAUAGAUUUUUUUUCCCGUUUAAUAUUGGUGAUGUUCGUGCUAGUUUAUGCGCACUUUAACCUUUGAUCCUGUGUCGAAAU